AUUUGCACUUGUCGGGGAAGGGUGAGAACCUUCGAUUAAGGUUCGACUCGAGCGAAAGCGAGAGAACGUUGCCAACGGCAACGGCCCGUAGGGUGAGGAGCGAAGCGACGAAUAAUCCUUCCCCCACACCAU
Molecule: small RNA, 132 nt
Filed under: Salmonella enterica subsp. enterica serovar Nijmegen
Lineage: Bacteria; Pseudomonadati; Pseudomonadota; Gammaproteobacteria; Enterobacterales; Enterobacteriaceae
Description: RtT sRNA
Rfam family: RtT RNA
About the family: This family represents a bacterial cis-regulatory element known as RtT RNA.
Source: RNAcentral